UUUUCCGUGUUAAUUGUGUCGUCCCUCAAUUAUUAGGAAAUAUAUUAAUGUGAUAAAUGUAGAUUACCUAAUUAUGUGAUACGGCCGCCGGUGUCAACAAACCGCAAAAUUAUUAUUUUCGUGUGCCGGUCAUAUAAAAUCAAUAUUGUCAAAGGCGCUAAUCGUCAAAUAUUUAUUAUUGUUUUUAUAAGUUUUGAAGCGCGAAUUGCCAUACAUAUUAUUAUAACAUAUUCUGUGAAGGGCCUGAGUCCCUAUAUAUUAUUAUUAUAUUUUUUUUGUGUCAAAUUAUUUAUACAGACACUGGUAGCAAGCCGGCCAGCCGUGCACCAACAAACUUAAACUUGUGCCAUGGCAAAGCUUAUUAGUGUUCAUGUUGGAUCAUUUUUAUCACAUUAAAUAACAAUGCAAAUAUAUAGAAAGCAAAACUAGCCUACCAAUCCUAUUACAAUGCAAGAAUUUCAUGAGGAAUUAAUUAGAAAAUACUCACAUUUGGUAACAAUUAACGAUGAUCUGUUAUGUUCAGGCUUGCCUCAUAUUUCGAUAAUGAAUGUAGACAGUUAUAUUAUGUUAUAAUGGGAAUUACAUUCAAUCCUGGGUUUCCGAUUUCUUUUGCCCUUAUGUCUAGAAAGACAACCAUAGCUGGAAAUACUUUUGAGUAUUGGACCACAGUGUCAGCCUGAAACAGUAACCAUAGAUUUUGAGCCAGCAGCUAUGGCAGGAAUUAAAUAAAUAUUCCUAGGCAUAAGCAUACGAGAUUGUUGGUUCCAGUCAGGCUAUUUGAAAGAAAAUGGGAAGUCUUGGUAUGACUCAGUUGUACACAAGAGAUCGCGGAGUAUAUGAUACUGACCAUAAAUAUAUUAAAUUUAAUAUAAUAUAUUGCCAUUAAUACCAAGAAUAUCAUCAUUUGAAAUAACGCCGGUUUUGCUUCAACUGUGGCAUUGUGAAGUUGAAGUUGAUCGGCCCUUUGUGUUUUACAUUCGAAGAAGAUGCAUUGUGGAUUUCAGAUUUUCCAGUUAUAAUUUACAACACCGGAUUACAUUCAUUUGAUUUUUUUUUUUGCUGGGAAAUUUUUAAAAUGGCUUCAUAAUUUUGAAUUGUAAAUAUUUUUCAAUAUUAUAAAAUGACGUGGAUAACAGGUGUUUAUGCAAAUAUGUUAUUUGUGAGUGACACUGUUUGUAGAACAAAUAAUGUUCUAGAAGUAAGUCAUCAAGACUUAAGAUGCAAAUUGGAAACAAUCAUAAACUGGAGCCAUGGGUGUAUCUAAGAUAAUAUGCAAUAUAUGAGGUGUUGGGCAAUUCCGAGUGGAGUUUGGUAGCCAAUGGAAAGGUUGCCAACGUCAUGUCAAACUGGGAAAGAUAUAGAAACGCCGACAUCGGAGCGCCAAACACAUCCAAGCUCCUCCGAAAGCAGUUACAUAUUUCCUGUUCAAGAAACACCUAUUCUUCAAUUAGUAUAGCCUGGAUGGACCUGUGGAAAAAAAGUGUUGUACCAUCAGGUGCUGCAUGGCCUCCUAUGCAAUUGUUCCCGCCCAUUUAGCAAUAAUAUGUCACAUCAUAAUGUUAUACAAAUGAUUUGAAUUUGAUUGUUGAUGAAGUUCUUCAAGGUUCAAAGGUAAUUCCUGGACUCAGAGGAAAUUCAAACAUUUAUAUUGACCACAGAGGGUUCUCGUACUACCAACACUCUAUUAGGGAAGAUAUUAGAUACCUUACGUGCAGCAGAAGACGUUAUAGAUGUUUUGUCACUGGGCAAAUGCGAACUGAAGUGGGUUCGACCAUACUAUUGUCCAGGCAAUGAGGUCAUAAUCAUGAGCCACAGACGAGGCAUGACGAAGAGGUUAGAAUGUUUUUCAAUAGGAUCUGUGAGAGGGAUACUUUAGAGAAUAUUCCACCUCAAAUUAUUUUUAAUGAAGAUGCUCAACAGUAAGAUACAAACUUAGUUGUGAAAAAAAAUAUAAAAAAAACAAUAUCAAUAAAUAUAUAUACAGUGUGUCCCAAAAGUCCCGUAUCACCCUUAAUAUCUCCAUGUAAAAUCACUAUAUUUAAACGUGGUUUUUUUUACAGUACUAAGUAUGAAAAUUCUGAUUGAAUGGCAUAAAAUUCAUUUAUUUUUUUCUUUAAAUUCAAAAAUUUCCAAAAAUUUUUUUACGCAUUUAAGAUUUUAAAAUUUUUAAGAUAGCCAUUUUGUUGAGCAUAUUUUU
Molecule: long non-coding RNA, 2197 nt
Organism: Metopolophium dirhodum (rose-grain aphid)
Lineage: Eukaryota; Metazoa; Arthropoda; Insecta; Hemiptera; Aphididae
Exons: 10
Source: RefSeq, a predicted model, not a curated record